RNAcentral lists this ribosomal RNA (464 nucleotides) under uncultured bacterium. RNAcentral describes it as "partial 16S ribosomal RNA". It matches the Rfam family "Bacterial small subunit ribosomal RNA", at positions 339 to 795 of the family's 1533-position model. The record is from RNAcentral.
CUACGGGGCGCUGCAGUGGGGAAUAUUGCACAAUGGGGGAAACCCUGAUGCAGCCAUGCCGCGUGUGUGAAGAAGGCCUUCGGGUUGUAAAGCACUUUCAGCAGUGAGGAAAGUUUGGUGGUUAAUACCCAUCAGAUGUGACGUUAACUGCAGAAGAAGCACCGGCUAACUCCGUGCCAGCAGCCGCGGUAAUACGGAGGGUGCGAGCGUUAAUCGGAAUUACUGGGCGUAAAGCGCAUGCAGGCGGUCUGUUAAGCCAGAUGUGAAAGCCCGGGGCUCAACCCCGGAAUAGCAUUUGGAACUGGCAGACUAGAGUUUUGUAGAGGGGGGUAGAAUUUCAGGUGUAGCGGUGAAAUGCGUAGAGAUCUGAAGGAAUACCAGUGGCGAAGGCGGCCCCCUGGACAAAAACUGACGCUCAGAUGCGAAAGCGUGGGUAGCAAACAGGAUUAGAUACCCCUGUAGUC